CGCGGCCUAUCAGCUUGUUGGUGGGGUGAUGGCCUACCAAGGCUUUGACGGGUAGCCGGCCUGAGAGGGCGACCGGCCACACUGGGACUGAGACACGGCCCAGACUCCUACGGGAGGCAGCAGUGGGGAAUAUUGCACAAUGGGCGGAAGCCUGAUGCAGCGACGCCGCGUGAGGGAUGACGGCCUUCGGGUUGUAAACCUCUUUCAGCAGGGACGAAGCGAAAGUGACGGUACCUGCAGAAGAAGCGCCGGCCAACUACGUGCCAGCAGCCGCGGUAAGACGUAGGGCGCGAGCGUUGUCCGGAUUUAUUGGGCGUAAAGAGCUCGUAGGCGGCUUGUUGCGUCGUCCGUGAAAACCUGGGGCUCAACUCCAGGCUUGCGGUCGAUACGGGCAGGCUAGAGUUCGGUAGGGGAGACUGGAAUUCCUGGUGUAGCGGUGAAAUGCGCAGAUAUCAGGAGGAACACCGGUGGCGAAGGCGGGUCUCUGGGCCGAUACUGACGCUGAGGAGCGAAAGCGUGGGGAGCGAACAGGAUUAGAUACCCUGGUAGUCCACGCUGUAAACGUUGGGCGCUAGGUGUGGGGGGCCUCUCCGGUUUCCUGCGCCGUAGCUAACGCAUUAAGCGCCCCGCCUGGGGAGUACGG
This 643-nucleotide ribosomal RNA is filed under the name uncultured Actinomycetes bacterium. Its description in RNAcentral is "bacterial SSU rRNA". It matches the Rfam family "Bacterial small subunit ribosomal RNA", at positions 232 to 885 of the family's 1533-position model. The record is from RNAcentral. Lineage: Bacteria; Bacillati; Actinomycetota; Actinomycetes.